AGAACGAACGCUGGCGGCAGGCCUCAAACAUGCAAGUCUAGGGGGUGUAGCAAUACAUCACCGGCGGACGGGUGCGUAACACGUGGGAAUAUACCGUUUGGUUCGGAACAACGCAGGGAAACUUGCGCUAAUACCGAAUGUGCCCUUACGGGGAAAGAUUUAUCGCCAAAGGAUUAGCCCCGCGUCCGAUUAGCUAGUUGGUGAGGUAAUGGCUCACCAAGGCUCCGAUCGGUAGCUGUUCUGAGAGGAAGAUCAGCCACACUGGGACUGAGACACGGCCCAGACUCCUACGGGAGGCAGCAGUUGGGAAUCUUGGACAAUGGGGGAAACCCUGAUCCAGCCAUGCCGCGUGAGUGAUGAAGGCCUUCGGGUUGUAAAACUCUUUCGACGGGGACGAGUAAUGACGGUACCCGUAGAAGAAGCUCCGGCUAACUUCGUGCCAGCAGCCGC
This 450-nucleotide ribosomal RNA is filed under the name uncultured bacterium. Its description in RNAcentral is "SSU rRNA". It matches the Rfam family "Bacterial small subunit ribosomal RNA", at positions 26 to 518 of the family's 1533-position model. The record is from RNAcentral.